This 524-nucleotide ribosomal RNA is filed under the name Yersinia pestis. RNAcentral describes it as "partial 23S ribosomal RNA". It matches the Rfam family "Bacterial large subunit ribosomal RNA", at positions 2425 to 2925 of the family's 2925-position model. Lineage: Bacteria; Pseudomonadati; Pseudomonadota; Gammaproteobacteria; Enterobacterales; Yersiniaceae. The record is from RNAcentral.
GGUUCUGAAUGGAAGGGCCAUCGCUCAACGGAUAAAAGGUACUCCGGGGAUAACAGGCUGAUACCGCCCAAGAGUUCAUAUCGACGGCGGUGUUUGGCACCUCGAUGUCGGCUCAUCACAUCCUGGGGCUGAAGUAGGUCCCAAGGGUAUGGCUGUUCGCCAUUUAAAGUGGUACGCGAGCUGGGUUUAGAACGUCGUGAGACAGUUCGGUCCCUAUCUGCCGUGGGCGUUGGAAGAUUGAGAGGGGCUGCUCCUAGUACGAGAGGACCGGAGUGGACGAAUCACUGGUGUUCGGGUUGUCAUGCCAAUGGCAUUGCCCGGUAGCUAAAUUCGGAAGAGAUAACCGCUGAAAGCAUCUAAGCGGGAAACUUGCCUCGAGAUGAGUCUUCCCUGGGACUUAAAGUCCCCUGAAGGAACGUUAAAGACUAUGACGUUGAUAGGCUGGGUGUGUAAGUGCAGCGAUGUAUUGAGCUAACCAGUACUAAUGAUCCGUGAGGCUUAACCUUACAACACCGAAGGUGUUU